UUAAGUGACUAAGCGUACACGGUGGAUGCCUAGGCAGUCAGAGGCGAUGAAGGGCGUGCUAAUCUGCGAAAAGCGUCGGUAAGGUGAUAUGAACCGUUAUAACCGGCGAUACCCGAAUGGGGAAACCCAGUGUGUUUCGACACACUAUCAUGUCAUGAAUACAUAGUGGCAUGAGGCGAACCGGGGGAACUGAAACAUCUAAGUACCCCGAGGAAAAGAAAUCAACCGAGAUUCCCCCAGUAGCGGCGAGCGAACGGGGAGGAGCCCAGAACCUGAAUCGGCUUGUGUGUUAGUGGAAGCGUCUGGAAAGUCGCGCAGCAAAGGGUGAUAGCCCCGUACACUAAAAUGCACAGGUCGUGAGUUCGAUGAGUAGGGCGGGACACGUGACAUCCUGUCUGAAUAUGGGGGGACCAUCCUCCAAGGCUAAAUACUCCUGACUGACCGAUAGUGAACCAGUACCGUGAGGGAAAGGCGAAAAGAACCCCGGCGAGGGGAGUGAAAUAGAACCUGAAACCGUGUACGUACAAGCAGUGGGAGCACCUUCGUGGUGUGACUGCGUACCUUUUGUAUAAUGGGUCAGCGACUUAUAUUUUGUAGCAAGGUUAACCGUAUAGGGGAGCCGUAGGGAAACCGAGUCUUAACUGGGCGAAUAGUUGCAAGGUAUAGACCCGAAACCCGGUGAUCUAGCCAUGGGCAGGUUGAAGGUUGGGUAACACUAACUGGAGGACCGAACCGACUAAUGUUGAAAAAUUAGCGGAUGACUUGUGGCUGGGGGUGAAAGGCCAAUCAAACCGGGAGAUAGCUGGUUCUCCCCGAAAGCUAUUUAGGUAGCGCCUCGUGAACUCAUCUUCGGGGGUAGAGCACUGUUUCGGCUAGGGGGCCAUCCCGGCUUACCAAACCGAUGCAAACUCCGAAUACCGAAGAAUGUUAUCACGGGAGACACACGGCGGGUGCUAACGUCCGUCGUGAAGAGGGAAACAACCCAGACCGCCAGCUAAGGUCCCAAAGUCAUGGUUAAGUGGGAAACGAUGUGGGAAGGCACAGACAGCCAGGAUGUUGGCUUAGAAGCAGCCAUCAUUUAAAGAAAGCGUAAUAGCUCACUGGUCGAGUCGGCCUGCGCGGAAGAUGUAACGGGGCUAAACCAUGCACCGAAGCUGCGGCAGCGACGCUUAGGCGUUGUUGGGUAGGGGAGCGUUCUGUAAGCCGUUGAAGGUGGCCUGUGAGGGUUGCUGGAGGUAUCAGAAGUGCGAAUGCUGACAUAAGUAACGAUAAAGCGGGUGAAAAGCCCGCUCGCCGGAAGACCAAGGGUUCCUGUCCAACGUUAAUCGGGGCAGGGUGAGUCGACCCCUAAGGCGAGGCUGAAAAGCGUAGUCGAUGGGAAACAGGUUAAUAUUCCUGUACUUGGUGUUACUGCGAAGGGGGGACGGAGAAGGCUAGGCUGGCCGGGCGACGGUUGUCCCGGUUUAAGCGUGUAGGGGGUGUGACCUGGUAAAUCCGGUUGCAUAUCAACCCUGAGGCGUGAUGACGAUGCACUACGGUGCAGAAGUAGUUGAUGCCCUGCUUCCAGGAAAAUCCUCUAAGCUCCAGGUAACAUUAAAUCGUACCCCAAACCGACACAGGUGGUCAGGUAGAGAAUACCAAGGCGCUUGAGAGAACUCGGGUGAAGGAACUAGGCAAAAUGGUGCCGUAACUUCGGGAGAAGGCACGCUGGCAUGUAGGUGAAGUCCCUUGCGGAUGGAGCUGAAGCCAGUCGAAGAUACCAGCUGGCUGCAACUGUUUAAUAAAAACACAGCACUGUGCAAACACGAAAGUGGACGUAUACGGUGUGACGCCUGCCCGGUGCUGGAAGGUUAAUUGAUGGGGUCAGCCGCAAGGCGAAGCUCUUGAUCGAAGCCCCAGUAAACGGCGGCCGUAACUAUAACGGUCCUAAGGUAGCGAAAUUCCUUGUCGGGUAAGUUCCGACCUGCACGAAUGGCGUAAUGAUGGCCAGGCUGUCUCCACCCGAGACUCAGUGAAAUUGAACUCGCUGUGAAGAUGCAGUGUACCCGCGGCAAGACGGAAAGACCCCGUGAACCUUUACUAUAGCUUGACACUGAACAUUGAGCCUUGAUGUGUAGGAUAGGUGGGAGGCUUUGAAGCGUGGACGCCAGUCUGCGUGGAGCCAUCCUUGAAAUACCACCCUUUAAUGUUUGAUGUUCUAACUCGGCCCCGUGAUCCGGGGUGAGGACAGUGUCUGGUGGGUAGUUUGACUGGGGCGGUCUCCUCCCAAAGAGUAACGGAGGAGCACGAAGGUUAGCUAAUCACGGUCGGACAUCGUGAGGUUAGUGCAAAGGCAUAAGCUAGCUUGACUGCGAGAGUGACGGCUCGAGCAGGUACGAAAGUAGGUCUUAGUGAUCCGGUGGUUCUGAAUGGAAGGGCCAUCGCUCAACGGAUAAAAGGUACUCCGGGGAUAACAGGCUGAUACCGCCCAAGAGUUCAUAUCGACGGCGGUGUUUGGCACCUCGAUGUCGGCUCAUCACAUCCUGGGGCUGAAGUAGGUCCCAAGGGUAUGGCUGUUCGCCAUUUAAAGUGGUACGCGAGCUGGGUUUAGAACGUCGUGAGACAGUUCGGUCCCUAUCUGCCGUGGGCGUUGGAAGAUUGAGAGGGGUUGCUCCUAGUACGAGAGGACCGGAGUGAACGCACCACUGGUGUUCGGGUUGUCAUGCCAAUGGCAUUGCCCGGUAGCUAAGUGCGGAAAAGAUAAGCGCUGAAAGCAUCUAAGCGCGAAACUUGCCUCAAGAUGAGUCUUCCCUGGGCCUUUAAGGCCCCUGAAGGAACGUUUAAGACUAAGACGUUGAUAGGCUGGGUGUGUAAGUGCAGCGAUGCAUUGAGCUAACCAGUACUAAUGAUCCGUGAGGCUUAACCUU
This 2906-nucleotide ribosomal RNA is filed under the name Serratia marcescens. Its description in RNAcentral is "bacterial LSU rRNA". It matches the Rfam family "Bacterial large subunit ribosomal RNA". The record is from RNAcentral. Lineage: Bacteria; Pseudomonadati; Pseudomonadota; Gammaproteobacteria; Enterobacterales; Yersiniaceae.